GACGAACGCUGGCGGCGUGCCUAACACAUGCAAGUCGAGCGAUGAAGCUUCCUUCGGGAAGUGGAUUAGCGGCGGACGGGUGAGUAACACGUGAGCAACCUGCCUCAAAGAGGGGGAUAGCCUUCCGAAAGGAAGAUUAAUACCGCAUAAAGUCACGGAUUCGCAUGUUUCUGUGACCAAAGGAGUAAUCCGCUUUGAGAUGGGCUCGCGGCGCAUUAGCUAGUUGGUAAGGUAACGGCUUACCAAGGCGACGAUGCGUAGCCGACCUGAGAGGGUGAUCGGCCACAUUGGGACUGAGACACGGCCCAGACUCCUACGGGAGGCAGCAGUGGGGAAUAUUGCGCAAUGGGCGAAAGCCUGACGCAGCAACGCCGCGUGGGUGAUGACGGUCUUCGGAUUGUAAAACCCUGUCUUCAAGGACGAUAAUGACGGUACCUGAGGAGGAAGCCACGGCUAACUACGUG
This 464-nucleotide ribosomal RNA is filed under the name uncultured bacterium. Its description in RNAcentral is "bacterial SSU rRNA". It matches the Rfam family "Bacterial small subunit ribosomal RNA", at positions 28 to 507 of the family's 1533-position model. The record is from RNAcentral.